CUUGAGAGUCCUGAAGGAACGUUGAAGACGACGACGUUGAUAGGCCGGGUGUGUAAGCGCAGCGAUGCGUUGAGCUAACCGGUACUAAUGAACCGUGAGGCUUAACCUUACAACGCCGAAGGUGUUU
Molecule: ribosomal RNA, 127 nt
Filed under: Escherichia coli
Lineage: Bacteria; Pseudomonadati; Pseudomonadota; Gammaproteobacteria; Enterobacterales; Enterobacteriaceae
Also listed under: 1 other name
Description: partial 23S ribosomal RNA
Rfam family: Bacterial large subunit ribosomal RNA (bases 1-109)
Source: RNAcentral